AGGGGGCUAGCGUUGUUCGGAUUUACUGGGCGUAAAGCGCACGUAGGCGGAUCUUUAAGUCAGAGGUGAAAUCCCAAGGCUCAACCUUGGAACUGCCUUUGAUACUGGAGAUCUUGAGUCCGGGAGAGGUGAGUGGAACUGCGAGUGUAGAGGUGAAAUUCGUAGAUAUUCGCAAGAACACCAGUGGCGAAGGCGGCUCACUGGCCCGGUACUGACGCUCAGGCGCGACAGCCUGGGGAGCAAACAGGAUUAGAUACCCUGGUAGUCCACGCCGUAAACGAUGGAUGCUAGCCGUUGGUAAGCAUGCUUAUCAGUGGCGCAGCUAACGCAUUAAGCAUCCCGCCUGGGGAGUACGGCCGCAAGGUUGAAACUCAAGGGAAUUGACGGGGGCCCGCACAAGCGGUGGAGCAUGUGGUUUAAU
RNAcentral lists this ribosomal RNA (421 nucleotides) under uncultured bacterium 1204-53l. Its description in RNAcentral is "bacterial SSU rRNA". It matches the Rfam family "Bacterial small subunit ribosomal RNA", at positions 529 to 950 of the family's 1533-position model. Lineage: Bacteria; Pseudomonadati; Pseudomonadota; Alphaproteobacteria. The record is from RNAcentral.